This is a ribosomal RNA of Oncorhynchus nerka (sockeye salmon), 155 nucleotides long. RefSeq annotates it as 5.8S ribosomal RNA. The transcript has a single exon. The record is from RefSeq and is a predicted model, not a curated record. NCBI's taxonomy places the organism in Eukaryota, Metazoa, Chordata, Actinopteri, Salmoniformes, Salmonidae.
AACUCUUAGCGGUGGAUCACUCGGCUCGUGCGUCGAUGAAGAACGCAGCUAGCUGCGAGAACUAAUGUGAAUUGCAGGACACAUUGAUCAUUGACACUGACACUCGAACGCACUUUGUUCAGGUUCCUCCUGGGGCUACGCCUGUCUGAGGGUCG